UUGAAGGUGAAAGUCGUAACAAGGUCUCCGUUGGUGAACCAGCGGAGGGAUCAUUAC
RNAcentral lists this ribosomal RNA (57 nucleotides) under Trichoderma atroviride. Its description in RNAcentral is "partial 18S ribosomal RNA". It matches the Rfam family "Eukaryotic small subunit ribosomal RNA", at positions 1776 to 1831 of the family's 1831-position model. Lineage: Eukaryota; Fungi; Ascomycota; Sordariomycetes; Hypocreales; Hypocreaceae. The record is from RNAcentral.